AAAAAUCGCCGGAAAUGAGAAAGAAUUUGGUAGCCUAAGAGUUAGGGCAAUGGGAAGCCGGGGGAGCCUGACAAAACUUGAUCCUCUUUAAUGAAUGUUGGUGGAAUAGUUUUCUGAGGAGGGUGGAAAAAAUCAUCCUUAUUUAGUCUAUUAGAUUCAGCAGGAAGAAUCCAGCCAGCUGGGCCACCUACUAAACCUAAACCAUCCUGG
This 210-nucleotide unclassified non-coding RNA is filed under the name Hevea brasiliensis (rubber tree). The record is from RNAcentral. Lineage: Eukaryota; Viridiplantae; Streptophyta; Magnoliopsida; Malpighiales; Euphorbiaceae.